This 253-nucleotide ribosomal RNA is filed under the name uncultured bacterium. RNAcentral describes it as "partial 16S ribosomal RNA". It matches the Rfam family "Bacterial small subunit ribosomal RNA", at positions 524 to 776 of the family's 1533-position model. The record is from RNAcentral.
UACGUAGGGGGCAAGCGUUGUCCGGAAUCAUUGGGCGUAAAGAGCGCGUAGGCGGUCCGGUAAGUCCGCUCUGAAAGCCCGGGGCUCAACCCCGGGAGGCGGGCGGAUACUGUCGGGCUAGAGUCCGGAAGAGGCGAGUGGAAUUCCUGGUGUAGCGGUGAAAUGCGCAGAUAUCAGGAGGAACACCAAUGGCGAAGGCAGCUCGCUGGGACGGUACUGACGCUGAGACGCGAAAGCGUGGGGAGCAAACAGG